Molecule: ribosomal RNA, 279 nt
Filed under: uncultured bacterium
Lineage: Bacteria
Description: partial 16S ribosomal RNA
Rfam family: Bacterial small subunit ribosomal RNA
Source: RNAcentral
UGCCAGCCGCCGCGGUAAUACGGAGGGGGUUAGCGUUGUUCGGAAUUACUGGGCGUAAAGCGCGCGUAGGCGGACUGAAAAGUUGGGGGUGAAAUCCCGGGGCUCAACCCCGGAACUGCCUUCAAAACUAUCAGUCUUGAGGUCGAGAGAGGUGAGUGGAAUACCGAGUGUAGAGGUGAAAUUCGUAGAUAUUCGGUGGAACACCAGUGGCGAAGGCGGCUCACUGGCUCGAUUCUGACGCUGAGGUGCGAAAGUGUGGGGAGCAAACAGGAUUAGCUA